RNAcentral lists this transfer-messenger RNA (396 nucleotides) under Bacteroidales. RNAcentral's name for it is "GWF2-38-335 sp016936815 Standard tmRNA". It matches the Rfam family "transfer-messenger RNA". Rfam says of the family: Bacterial tmRNA, also known as 10Sa RNA or SsrA, is named for its dual tRNA and mRNA-like properties. Its role is to liberate the mRNA from a stalled ribosome. Lineage: Bacteria; Pseudomonadati; Bacteroidota; Bacteroidia. RNAcentral also lists the same sequence under 1 other name. The record is from RNAcentral.
GGGGCUGACCUGGCUUUUGACAGCAAGUUGAAUUGUUGUGUAAGCAUGCCGAGCUACGCAAGUUAACUCGUAAAACUGAAGUGCAAACAUUCAAACGGCGAAAAUAACUACGCGCUUGCCGCAUAGUCGAAUAACAGUAGACUAAGCAUAUCCGGCUCUAGGAGCUGGAGCGAGCUGUCUCCCGGGAAUCUCUCCUUAUUGUUCCCGAUAGCGAGGCACCGACAAAUAGGGAUAGUUCCAAUGAUUACUCCGUAGUUGGAAUGAAAUUCAGGAGAUAAGCAGCAAUUUCGGUUGCCUUUUGCCCGGUUGCUGACGAAAAUUAAGUUAAGGAUAAGCAUGUAGAAAGCACAUGGGUUCCUUGUUUGGACCGGGGUUCGACUCCCCGCAGCUCCACAA